GUUUGGCUUUGGUUGCAUAAUGUAACAGAGAUUAGGUGGUCCACAAGGGAUGAAUAUGGAGUGGCAAGUUGCACCUGCAAGCCCAAGUUCCUACAUUGUGAAGAGGAUAUUGCGCUUGGAUAUUCCAGUAGAUAGCUUUCCAAAUGUAAGCCACCCAUAUAACUUGACAGUGCGUUAAAGGACGUUGCUAUCUUAAAUUUGAAGUUGUUGGUUUAAUGGUUAACAAAAACAUAUUAUUGGAGGUGUUUGCACGCACAAACACACACACAAAGUUAUUAUUUAAUAACUUUAUCUUGCUUUUACGCUAUGAAGUAUCUUUUUUUUUUCUCAAAUACGUAUUGCAACAAAUCAUGAAACUGAUUUCUCCUUCCCUCAGUCGACAAUACGAUGAGUCACAAGACUACUACAAGAGGGAACAGUUGAGAGAACUAGCCAUGCUGAAAUCCAAUUUGCGAGAAGAGAGCCCUCAACCAUAUGGUAGUGUCUCUCCUUUCACUUCAAGCGGGAUGAAGCGUGCCAAAACUGGUCUGUAAUGGUUCACUUAUCUCCUCUUCUAUUGGUUCGUCCUCCCGUGCGACUCUUGAGCUUGCUUGCCAGCGUAUGCUUCUCGGUGUAAUUCAAUUCUGUAUGUAGACUGUAAGGGACGAAGCGUUGUGGACCUGUUUGGUGAGCGUCAAUGCAGGGGUUUUCUUCCAUGACAUUAAGAUAUACGGAUGAACGGAGAUAUUCUUUUGUUAAAGCUUUCAUGUUUGUAGUCGAUUGUGAUUGAUUGUAGAAGUAGAACAAUUAUGUCAUAUAAGUUAUUCUUUGUUGUGCUGAACAUGUAUUUGUUAUUAACUCGACGCUGUCUAAACUUGAAAGUGAAAUAUGCAUCGAUUGUUUAUUUUACUUUUAAGUGGGAUGCUGUAAGCUCAA
Molecule: non-coding RNA, 915 nt
Organism: Malus domestica (apple)
Lineage: Eukaryota; Viridiplantae; Streptophyta; Magnoliopsida; Rosales; Rosaceae
Source: RefSeq, a predicted model, not a curated record